AAAACAUAUUUAGCAUAGAAUGACAAUGAAAUUAGUUCAUCUUUAGAUGAAGAUCAUACAAACAAGGUAUUGAUGGCAUCACAUCAUUCAUGUGAUGAAGAUCAUGAGGUUAAUGAUUCUGAAAUUGAUGAUAAUACUUCAUAAGAUGAAUUAGAAAAUGAUUUUCACAAAUAAUAUGAAGAACUUUUAAAAAUUUCUAGACAAUAUUCAAAUCAAAAGAAAACUAAAACUCGAAAGUAUGGCUAAUGACACAAAAGUGGAAUUAG
This 266-nucleotide long non-coding RNA is filed under the name Lathyrus oleraceus (garden pea). RNAcentral's name for it is "Pisum sativum (pea) long non-coding RNA (PSAT_LNC035977)". Lineage: Eukaryota; Viridiplantae; Streptophyta; Magnoliopsida; Fabales; Fabaceae. The record is from RNAcentral.